AUUGGCUGAAUAACAUAAUUGAAUCAAAUUAGUUUCAUCAGGCAGAUGACACGAGUUACCAUGUCUGAAGAAGAUACCCUCUGACAUAUUAUGAUUACAAUGAGUAGCAUUAUCAUGCGAAUGCGAUGACACUACCAAAGAUAUUCAACACAACAUACAGACAUUGGAUCGGAAUAUUUUUCAAACACACUGAAAAAUAUCCUCUAAUCUUUUCUGGUUCGUUGGAGAAAAACAAUUUUUAGCGUACCUACACGUCCCCUGUCAUCGUCAUAAUAUCGAAGAAAAAUAGCGAGGCAAGAAAAGAUACUCGUCGAACAAGGAUGUGUUGUAAUGUGCAAAAGUUGCGGAAUGUCCGCAGAAUAAUCC
Long non-coding RNA from Athalia rosae (coleseed sawfly), 366 nucleotides. RefSeq lists it as uncharacterized. The record is from RefSeq and is a predicted model, not a curated record. NCBI's taxonomy places the organism in Eukaryota, Metazoa, Arthropoda, Insecta, Hymenoptera, Athaliidae. The transcript is spliced from 3 exons.